Molecule: ribosomal RNA, 406 nt
Filed under: uncultured bacterium
Lineage: Bacteria
Description: partial 16S ribosomal RNA
Rfam family: Bacterial small subunit ribosomal RNA
Source: RNAcentral
GCCGAACGCUGGCGGCGCGCUUAACACAUGCAAGUCGAGCGAAGCGGCGGACGGGUGAGUAACCCGUGAGUAACCUGCCUUAGACAUUGGGAUAGCCUCGGGAAACCGGGAUUAAUACCAAAUGGUCUAAGAUGGACCCGCGUCCCAUUAGCUAGUUGGUGGGUAACGGCCCACCCAGGCGACGAUGGGUAGCCGGCCGGAGAGGGUGAACGGCCACAUUGGAACUGAGAAACGGUCCAAACGCUACGGGAGGCAGCAGUGGGGAAUAUUGCACAAGGGAGGGAACUCUGAUGCAGCGACGCCGCGUGAACGAAGAAGGCUGUCGAGUCGUAAAGUUCUUUUAUAUGGGAAGCGGUACCAUAAGAAAAAGCACCGGCUAACUCCGUGCCAGCAGCCGCGGUAAUUC